UUUCUUUAAAGUAAAUUUGCUUCGAGCCUGAAACAAAUAAUCCUCGACUGAGUAAUUAAUGCGUGAUGUAAGAAACGUCCUUGUUUUCAGUAAUCAGGCCGGCGAGCCGAAGCCGGCGCUGCAGCAAAUGACUGUUUAAUGAAGAAACAGUGAGGGUACACUAAACUACUCCAUCAACAAAGAUGAGAUUAAAAGAAAAUAACAAACACAUCAUUAUGAAUAAGUUCAUUUCCAUUCUGCAGUUAUUAGGCUUAAUAUGUUUGCUGAGUGGAUUUUAAUUUCAUCUGAAGCUAAAGAUCAAUUAAUUUCUGCCGCUGGAUAAACUGUUCGUUAAUUAGCGGGCGAGUUUAUGGUCCUAAAAGUUUUGCAAGUAAGACACUUUGAGAGCACAUUUGAAACAGAGCAUUUUUCUCUGUGUUGUAAGACUUAUGCAGACCACAAACAAAGGACUGGAUGGUUUAUUUCACAUGUUGUGGGUCAGUAGACUCUCAGGUUAAUAAAUAUAUGUUCAAAAACACUGUACAAGUGGAUUUUUCACAUUAAGUCCCCUUUAAAGAGAAAUAAAACGGGUUUUUAAAGGCAGGGUUGGUCAUUUCCUCCAGAUCCACUUUUUAAGAUUUUGACGCAUUGUCCAUCUUUAUUUACAGAUUGGCUCCAACAUUCAAAGGGUCCCCAUGGAAAGAAGACUCAUUGAACCCCAAUCCCUCCUUUUGAUUUUUAAGAUCUUCACUUCCUGAUUGUUGCUUUGGGAUUGGACUGCGGUUUUAUUUUCU
This is a long non-coding RNA of Labrus mixtus (cuckoo wrasse), 773 nucleotides long. RefSeq lists it as uncharacterized. The record is from RefSeq and is a predicted model, not a curated record. The transcript is spliced from 3 exons. Lineage: Eukaryota; Metazoa; Chordata; Actinopteri; Labriformes; Labridae.